ACCCGCUGAACUUAAGCAUAUCAAUAAGCGGAGGAAAAGAAACCAACAGGGAUUGCCCUAGUAACGGCGAGUGAAGCGGCAACAGCUCAAAUUUGAAAUCUGGCGUCUUUGGCGUCCGAGUCGUAAUUUGCAGAGGGCGCUUUGGCAUUGGCAGCGGUCCAAGUUCCUUGGAACAGGACGUCACAGAGGGUGAGAAUCCCGUACGUGGUCGCUAGCCUUUACCGUGUAAAGCCCCUUCGACGAGUCGAGCUGUUUGGGAAUGCAGCUCUAAAUGGGAGGUAAAUUUCUUCUAAAGCUAAAUACUGGCCAGAGACCGAUAGCGCACAAGUAGAGUGAUCGAAAGAUGAAAAGCACUUUGGAAAGAGAGUUAAAAAGCACGUGAAAUUGUUGAAAGGGAAGCGCUUGCAGCCAGACUUGCCUGUAGUUGCUCAUCCGGGUUUUUACCCGGUGCACUCUUCUAUAGGCAGGCCAGCAUCAGUUUGGGCGGUUGGAUAAAGGUCUCUGUCAUGUACCUCUCUUCGGGGAGAACUUAUAGGGGAGACGACAUGCAACCAGCCCGGACUGAGGUCCGCGCAUCUGCUAGGAUGCUGGCGUAAUGGCUGU
This 603-nucleotide ribosomal RNA is filed under the name uncultured fungus. Its description in RNAcentral is "eukaryotic LSU rRNA". It matches the Rfam family "Eukaryotic large subunit ribosomal RNA", at positions 23 to 641 of the family's 3401-position model. The record is from RNAcentral. Lineage: Eukaryota; Fungi.